RNAcentral lists this ribosomal RNA (601 nucleotides) under Escherichia coli. Its description in RNAcentral is "bacterial SSU rRNA". It matches the Rfam family "Bacterial small subunit ribosomal RNA", at positions 931 to 1532 of the family's 1533-position model. Lineage: Bacteria; Pseudomonadati; Pseudomonadota; Gammaproteobacteria; Enterobacterales; Enterobacteriaceae. The record is from RNAcentral.
GGUGGAGCAUGUGGUUUAAUUCGAUGCAACGCGAAGAACCUUACCUGGUCUUGACAUCCACGGAAGUUUUCAGAGAUGAGAAUGUGCCUUCGGGAACCGUGAGACAGGUGCUGCAUGGCUGUCGUCAGCUCGUGUUGUGAAAUGUUGGGUUAAGUCCCGCAACGAGCGCAACCCUUAUCCUUUGUUGCCAGCGGUCCGGCCGGGAACUCAAAGGAGACUGCCAGUGAUAAACUGGAGGAAGGUGGGGAUGACGUCAAGUCAUCAUGGCCCUUACGACCAGGGCUACACACGUGCUACAAUGGCGCAUACAAAGAGAAGCGACCUCGCGAGAGCAAGCGGACCUCAUAAAGUGCGUCGUAGUCCGGAUUGGAGUCUGCAACUCGACUCCAUGAAGUCGGAAUCGCUAGUAAUCGUGGAUCAGAAUGCCACGGUGAAUACGUUCCCGGGCCUUGUACACACCGCCCGUCACACCAUGGGAGUGGGUUGCAAAAGAAGUAGGUAGCUUAACCUUCGGGAGGGCGCUUACCACUUUGUGAUUCAUGACUGGGGUGAAGUCGUAACAAGGUAACCGUAGGGGAACCUGCGGUUGGAUCACCUCCUU